UUUUCUUUAUGUGCAAUAUACAAUAUGUUUAUGAAUAAAUAUCUCGAUAUUGUCAACCGAGGAAAACAAUAAAUCAUGGAGAUGGAUUGUAACAACAACAACAACAAAAAUAACAACGACAUAAAAAACACCAUUAUGUGAGAUGGAUUGCAAUUAUUGGAAAACAAUAUUUUUUCAAGGUUGGUGUUAGAAGAACAACAUACAACACAUAAUUUUGAAG
Molecule: long non-coding RNA, 220 nt
Filed under: Lathyrus oleraceus (garden pea)
Lineage: Eukaryota; Viridiplantae; Streptophyta; Magnoliopsida; Fabales; Fabaceae
Description: Pisum sativum (pea) long non-coding RNA (PSAT_LNC013279)
Source: RNAcentral